RNAcentral lists this ribosomal RNA (440 nucleotides) under uncultured bacterium. Its description in RNAcentral is "partial 16S ribosomal RNA". It matches the Rfam family "Bacterial small subunit ribosomal RNA", at positions 338 to 795 of the family's 1533-position model. The record is from RNAcentral.
CCUACGGGUGGCUGCAGUGGGGGAUAUUGCACAAUGGGGGGAACCCUGAUGCAGCGACGCCGCGUGGGUGAAGAAGUGCUUCGGUGUGUAAAGCUCUGUCAGCAGGGAAGAAAAUGACGGUACCUGAGGAAGAAGCCCCGGCUAACUACGUGCCAGCAGCCGCGGUAAUACGUAGGGGGCAAGUGUUAUCCGGAUUUACUGGGUGUAAAGGGAGCGUAGACGGCGGUGCAAGUCUGGAGUGAAAGGCGGGGGCCCAACCCCCGGACUGCUCUGGAAACUGUGCGGCUGGAGUGCAGGAGAGGAAGGUGGAAUUCCUGGUGUAGCGGUGAAAUGCGUAGAUAUCAGGAGGAACACCAGUGGCGAAGGCGGCUUACUGGACUGUAACUGACGUUGAGGCUCGAAAGCGUGGGGAGCAAACAGGAUUAGAUACCCGUGUAGUC